GACGAACGCUGGCGGCGUGCUUAACACGUGCAAGUCGAACGGAAAGGCCCUGCUUUUGUGGGGUGCUCGAGUGGCGAACGGGUGAGUAACACGUGAGUAACCUGCCCUUGACUUUGGGAUAACUUCAGGAAACUGGGGCUAAUACCGGAUAGGAGCUCCUGCUGCAUGGUGGGGGUUGGAAAGUUUCGGCGGUUGGGGAUGGACUCGCGGCUUAUCAGCUUGUUGGUGGGGUAGUGGCUUACCAAGGCUUUGACGGGUAGCCGGCCUGAGAGGGUGACCGGCCACAUUGGGACUGAGAUACGGCCCAGACUCCUACGGGAGGCAGCAGUGGGGAAUAUUGCACAAUGGGCGGAAGCCUGAUGCAGCAACGCCGCGUGCGGGAUGACGGCCUUCGGGUUGUAAACCGCUUUCGCCUGUGACGAAGCGUGAGUGACGGUAAUGGGUAAAGAAGCACCGGCUAACUACGUGCCAGCAGCCGCGGUGAUACGUAGGGUGCGAGCGUUGUCCGGAUUUAUUGGGCGUAAAGGGCUCGUAGGUGGUUGAUCGCGUCGGAAGUGUAAUCUUGGGGCUUAACCCUGAGCGUGCUUUCGAUACGGGUUGACUUGAGGAAGGUAGGGGAGAAUGGAAUUCCUGGUGGAGCGGUGGAAUGCGCAGAUAUCAGGAGGAACACCAGUGGCGAAGGCGGUUCUCUGGGCCUUUCCUGACGCUGAGGAGCGAAAGCGUGGGGAGCGAACAGGCUUAGAUACCCUGGUAGUCCACGCUGUAAACGGUGGGUACUAGGUGUGGGGUCCAUUCCACGGGUUCCGUGCCGUAGCUAACGCUUUAAGUACCCCGCCUGGGGAGUACGGCCGCAAGGCUAAAACUCAAAGGAAUUGACGGGGCCCCGCACAAGCGGCGGAGCAUGCGGAUUAAUUCGAUGCAACGCGUAGAACCUUACCUGGGUUUGACAUGGAUCGGGAGUGCUCAGAGAUGGGUGUGCCUCUUUUGGGGUCGGUUCACAGGUGGUGCAUGGCUGUCGUCAGCUCGUGUCGUGAGAUGUUGGGUUAAGUCCCGCAACGAGCGCAACCCUUGUUCACUGUUGCCAGCACGUUAUGGUGGGGACUCAGUGGAGACCGCCGGGGUCAACUCGGAGGAAGGUGGGGAUGACGCCAAGUCAUCAUGCCCCUUAUGUCCAGGGCUUCACGCAUGCUACAAUGGCUGGUACAGAGAGUGGCGAGCCUGUGAGGGUGAGCGAAUCUCGGAAAGCCGGUCUCAGUUCGGAUUGGGGUCUGCAACUCGACCUCAUGAAGUCGGAGUCGCUAGUAAUCGCAGAUCAGCAACGCUGCGGUGAAUACGUUCCCGGGGCU
RNAcentral lists this ribosomal RNA (1346 nucleotides) under uncultured bacterium. Its description in RNAcentral is "partial 16S ribosomal RNA". It matches the Rfam family "Bacterial small subunit ribosomal RNA", at positions 28 to 1381 of the family's 1533-position model. The record is from RNAcentral.